UACGUAGGUGGCAAGCGUUGUCCGGAUUUGCUGGGUGUAAAGGGCGUGCAGCCGGGAAGACAAGUCAGAUGUGAAAUCCCGCGGCUCAACCGCGGAACUGCAUUUGAAACUGUUUUUCUUGAGUACCGGAGAGGUCAUCGGAAUUCCUUGUGUAGCGGUGAAAUGCGUAGAUAUAAGGAAGAACACCAGUGGCGAAGGCGGAUGACUGGACGGCAACUGACGGUGAGGCGCGAAAGCGUGGGGAGCAAACAGG
Molecule: ribosomal RNA, 253 nt
Filed under: uncultured bacterium
Lineage: Bacteria
Description: partial 16S ribosomal RNA
Rfam family: Bacterial small subunit ribosomal RNA
Source: RNAcentral